CCGACGUGGACAUCCAGUGAGCUGCUCUCUGGCUCUGUCCUGGUGGUGUUUGGGAGCGUAGCUCCGAGCCGAGACGUACAGUCCCGUUCCACGCCGUCGGACAGAAAGCUUCGUCCCCGGCUCCUAGCUGGUGAGGAUGAGUAUCCUGCAUAUUCCUACCUCUUCCCAGAGUCCUUUGGGGCUGUUACUGGGGAGCUUAACCAUGCAGGACACAGUA
Molecule: small nucleolar RNA, 217 nt
Organism: Thalassophryne amazonica
Lineage: Eukaryota; Metazoa; Chordata; Actinopteri; Batrachoidiformes; Batrachoididae
Product: small nucleolar RNA SNORA73 family
Exons: 1
Source: RefSeq, a predicted model, not a curated record